AUGGAGGGGUGGUUCAGCUUGUGUUUCAUUGCACUAGGCACGCCGCUUGCCCUUUGGCUUCUCAAGCUCGCCGGCGCCGGCGGCAAGAACAAGCCACAGAAGCACCAGCUGCCGCCAGGGCCAUGGACACUCCCGAUAAUCGGCAGCCUCCACCACGUCGUUAGCCUCGUCCCACACCGGAAAAUCACGCAGCUGUGUCGCCGAUACGGGCCAAUGAUGCACCUCAAGCUAGGCGAGGUCGAAGCCGUGGUGAUCUCCAGCGCCGAGGCGGUGGCGCAGGUGAUGAAGACCAACGACCUCGCGUUCGCAACCAGGCCGGGCACGCCGACGCAGGACAUCGCCGGCUGUGGCGGCAGGGGCAUCAUCUUCGCCCCCUACUGCGACCACUGGCGCCAGAUGCGCAAGGUCUGCAUUGUGGAGCUGCUCAGCUCCAUGCAGGUCAGGCGCAUGGAGAGCAUCCGGCCAGAGGAGGUUGGCAACCUCCUGGCCGACAUCGCCACUGCUGCGGCGUCCGGCGACAGCAUCAACAUCAGCGAGAAGAUGAUGGAGCUCAACAACGUCGUGUCGCAGGCAGUGUUCGGCGGCAGGUUCACACAGCAGGACGAGUACAUCCGCGAGCUAGAUGUGGUGCUCACCCUGCUAGGCGGCUUCUGCCUCGUCGAUCUCUUCCCGUCGUCACGGUUGGCACGGUGGCUCAGCUUCGCGCGGUGCAUGAAGAGGAGCUACAGCCACAUGCAAUGCAUCAUCGCCAACGUGAUCGAGGAGCGCAAGGCCGCGCGAGCUACUGGUCAUGGCGCCUCAAGCACCCACGACGAGGACCUGCUGGACGUGCUGCUCAGACUACAGAACGAUGAUUCAUUGGCAUUCCCUCUAACCACAGAGAGCAUAUGCGCCGUCUUAUUUGAUAUAUUUUCUGGUGCCACAGAUACCACGGGAACAAUUUUUGAAUGGGCUAUGUCAGAGCUCGUCCGUCAUCCUGAAACAAUGUUUAAGGCUCAACUAGAGAUAAGAAAAGUAUUAGGUCAAGAUUGA
This 1032-nucleotide ribosomal RNA is filed under the name Triticum aestivum (bread wheat). RNAcentral's name for it is "partial small subunit ribosomal RNA". Lineage: Eukaryota; Viridiplantae; Streptophyta; Magnoliopsida; Poales; Poaceae. The record is from RNAcentral.